UUUUUUUGAAUUUGUUAUGCCCGUUUCAAAAUGCAGUCAAAACGGCGGGAAUGACCGUUCCUAGCUAGUGGUGGAAUCUUGGAAUUUUUUGGUGUUUCUCUGAUUCAAUAGAUACUUAUGUACCUAGAAAUUAUUUUUGUAAAAAAUAAAUAACAAACUAUGAGGCAGCUAUAGUUCAAAUUUGACCCGCUUCCCGCUGAAUCGGCGGAAAUUUGUCUUUUUCAAGAGAGGUGGAUCAAAACUUUUUACACCCAACCAUUUGGUCAAUUGUGCAUUAAAUAUGGCCUAGUAUUUUAGAAAAAUGAUUUGGUCCAAUUUUGCAACAAUUAUUUGUGAGGUCCUUCACAAAAAAACCUCCUUCCGGGCACUCGAAAAAUAGAAAAUGGUUUUUUCGUCCAAAGAAAAUGAAAACUUCCUUAGGCAACAUUGUUUGCCAUUCCAAUAUGCACCCUUGUGCACAAUAUGAGAUCAUUUGAACAAACUAUGCCAUGAAUGUGGCCAUAAGAUUGAUCAUUUGGCUUGAAAGCCAUUCAUCUCCACACGUGAUAGCUCGUUUCUGAGAACACUUUUUUAAAAUAAUUGCCGUACUAGAAGUUUGUUAUUUUUCCAGGGAACUUGGCCACAUAUGAUGACACAAUGCGAAGGUUUCCCAAUUUUUUGAUUUUUUGAAUUUUUUAUGCACGUUUCAAAAUGCGGUCAAAACGGCGGGAAUGACCGUUCCUAGCUAGUGGUUGAAUCUUGGAAUUUUUUGGUGUUUUUCUGAUUAAAUAGAUACUUAUGUACCUAGAAAUGAUUUUUGGAAAAAAAUAAAGAGCAAACUAUGAGGCAGCUACAGUUGAAAUUUGACCGGCUUCUUGCUGAAUCGAUGGAAAUUUGUCUUUUCAUGAGAGGUGGAUCAAAGCUUCUCACACCCAACCAUUUGGUCAAUAGUGCAUUAAAUAUGUCCUAGUAUUUUAGAAAAUUGAUUUGGUACAAUUUUGCAACAAAUAUUUGGUAGGUCCUUCACAAAAAAGCUUAUUUCAGACACUUGAAAAAUGGAAAAUGGAUUUUUCGUCCAAAGAAAAUGAAAACUUCCUUAGGGAACAUUGUUUGCCAUUCCAAUAUGCACCCUUGUGAACAAUUUGAGAUCAUCUGAACAAACUAUGCCAUGAAUGUGGCCAUAAGAUUGAUCAUUUGGCUUCAAAGCCAUUCAUCUCCACACGUGAUAGCUCGUUUCUGAGAACACUUUUUUGAAAAUAAUUGCCGUAUUACAAGUUUGUUAUUUUUCCUGGGAACUUGGCCACAUAUGAUGACACAAAUGCUAAGGUUUCCCAAUUUUUUGAUUUUUUUUGAAUUUGUUAUGCCCGUUUCAAAAUGCAGUCAAAACGGCGGGAAUGACCGUUCCUAGCUAGUGGUGGAAUCUUGGAAUUUUUUGGUGUUUCUCUGAUUCAAUAGAUACUUAUGUACCUAGAAAUUAUUUUUGUAAAAAAUAAAUAGCAAACUAUGAGGCAGCUAUAGUUCAAAUUUGACCCGCUUCCCGCUGAAUCGGCGGAAAUUUGUCUUUUUCAAGAGAGGUGCAUCAAAACUUUUUACACCCAACCAUUUGGUCAAUUGUGCAUUAAAUAUGGCCUAGUAUUUUAGAAAAAUGAUUUGGUCCAAUUUUGCAACAAUUAUUUGUGAGGUCCUUCACAAAAAAACCUCCUUUCGGGCACUCGAAAAAUGGAAAAUGGUUUUUUCGUCCAAAGAAAAUGAAAACUUCCUUAGGCAACAUUGUUUGCCAUUCCAAUAUGCACCCUUGUGCACAAUAUGAGAUCAUUUGAACAAACUAUGCCAUGAAUGUGGCCAUAAG
RNAcentral lists this long non-coding RNA (1828 nucleotides) under Triticum aestivum (bread wheat). Its description in RNAcentral is "long non-coding RNA (TAES_LNC019033)". Lineage: Eukaryota; Viridiplantae; Streptophyta; Magnoliopsida; Poales; Poaceae. The record is from RNAcentral.